RNAcentral lists this ribosomal RNA (301 nucleotides) under uncultured bacterium. RNAcentral describes it as "partial 16S ribosomal RNA". It matches the Rfam family "Bacterial small subunit ribosomal RNA", at positions 509 to 808 of the family's 1533-position model. The record is from RNAcentral.
CAGCAGCCGCGGGAAUACGGAGGGAGCUAGCGUUGUUCGGAAUUACUGGGCGUAAAGCGCGCGUAGGCGGUUACUCAAGUCAGAGGUGAAAGCCCGGGGCUCAACCCCGGAACUGCCUUUGAAACUAGGUGACUAGAAUCUUGGAGAGGUCAGUGGAAUUCCGAGUGUAGAGGUGAAAUUCGUAGAUAUUCGGAAGAACACCAGUGGCGAAGGCGGCUUACUGGCUCAUACUGGACGCUGAGGUGCGAAAGCGUGGGGAGCAAACAGGAUUAGAUACCCCAGUGUCCCUGUCUCUUAUACA